Molecule: ribosomal RNA, 492 nt
Filed under: uncultured bacterium
Lineage: Bacteria
Description: partial 16S ribosomal RNA
Rfam family: Bacterial small subunit ribosomal RNA
Source: RNAcentral
GAUGAACGCUAGCUACAGGCUUAACACAUGCAAGUCGAGGGGAAACGACAUCGAAAGCUUGCUUUUGAUGGGCGUCGACCGGCGCACGGGUGAGUAACGCGUAUCCAACCUGCCCACCACUUGGGGAUAACCUUGCGAAAGUAAGACUAAUACCCAAUGAUAUCUCUAGAAGACAUCUGAAAGAGAUUAAAGAUUUAUCGGUGAUGGAUGGGGAUGCGUCUGAUUAGCUUGUUGGCGGGGUAACGGCCCACCAAGGCAACGAUCAGUAGGGGUUCUGAGAGGAAGGUCCCCCACAUUGGAACUGAGACACGGUCCAAACUCCUACGGGAGGCAGCAGUGAGGAAUAUUGGUCAAUGGACGAGAGUCUGAACCAGCCAAGUAGCGUGCAGGAAGACGGCCCUAUGGGUGGUAAACUGCUUUUAUAAGGGAAUAAAGUGAGUCUCGUGAGACUUUUUGCAUGUACCUUAUGAAUAAGGACCGGCUAAUUCCGUG